RNAcentral lists this long non-coding RNA (1023 nucleotides) under Microcebus murinus (gray mouse lemur). RNAcentral describes it as "lncRNA (ENSMICG00000048237.1)". Lineage: Eukaryota; Metazoa; Chordata; Mammalia; Primates; Cheirogaleidae. The record is from RNAcentral.
GGACAAGGCCCGGUUCGGGGCCCUUAAAUGUUCCUGCUCGUGUGUGUUAAUAAUAGUCUCUGGUUCAGCCCUGAGCUUAGGUUAGGAGCCCUGUAUUUUUUUUUUUUUUUUGUAGGAAGGAUUUGCACACUUUUAAGAGGCGUUCCUGCAAUCCUAGAAAUUGGUAAAAGUUAGAGAGCAGGAAGUGUGCGCCUUGGGGGGACACCUUGGAGUAAUUUACAGCCGGUGUAGCAGGCGGAGGACCCAGGUGGGGCUUCCUGUCUCCCGUUUCCUUCCUAAAUGUCCUUCCUUCGCUCUGGCCGGAAGCCACCUGGACAAGAUUUCCUCGUAGGGGUUCCCCUGUCGGUUGGCAUCAGUGGCGUUUGCUCCCAUGGCGCGUGCUGGAACGGUUUUCCGUGUGUCUGUCUGGUUGCACCCUUCAUGCAUCCUUCAUGCAUUGGUUUCUUCCUGUGGACCUACUGUGUGCCUGGCGCCAGAGAAAUACAUUCCAGGCGGUUCUGGUCUCCCAAGGAGUCAGUCUCUAGGGGAAGGAGACAGGAGACAGGGCAGGAAGAACCGGCCACUGAGCCAUCACCAAAGAGCUCAGGGGGCGCCAGGUGGUGAUGGAGAUUUCGAUUUGUCUGACGCCCUUGGCGACACCGAAGACAAGAAACCCACUCCGACCCCCAAAAAGCCCAGUUCUGGGGACGAUUUUGACUUAGAAGAUGCUCUUGGUGGCGGAGGACAUCAUGACCCGGCACCGCCCAACCCACCCAAGCCCAAGCCGCAUCCGAACCCCAACCAACCCGGUUCCAGCGGUAAGAGCCUCCAACCCCGUUGUGGGUUAUUUAUUUGUCUGUUGUCUGAUGUCUUAGUCAGCCGAGAGGAGGUGAUUUCAGGUUAGCAUGUGCUCUCUGCUCACGCCCUGUGCAGGUAGUUCCAGGGUUCGGGUGCGUGGAAAACGUAGCGUUCAAAAAUGUGUUUUUGAGGCCGGGGCGGGGGCUUUAUCUCCGGAUUUGGCUGUUGAUUUCUUUUGUGGUGGGU